GGUGAGUAACACGUGGAUAACCUACCUAUAAGACUGGGAUAACUUCGGGAAACCGUAGCUAAUACCGGAUAAUAUUUUGAACCGCAUGGUUCAAAAGUGAAAGACGGUCUUGCUGUCACUUAUAGAUGGAUCCGCGCUGCAUUAGCUAGUUGGUAAGGUAACGGCUUACCAAGGCAACGAUGCAUAGCCGACCUGAGAGGGUGAUCGGCCACACUGGAACUGAGACACGGUCCAG
This 235-nucleotide ribosomal RNA is filed under the name uncultured Staphylococcus sp. RNAcentral's name for it is "partial 16S ribosomal RNA". It matches the Rfam family "Bacterial small subunit ribosomal RNA", at positions 105 to 334 of the family's 1533-position model. Lineage: Bacteria; Bacillati; Bacillota; Bacilli; Caryophanales; Staphylococcaceae. The record is from RNAcentral.